Molecule: RNA transcript, 2052 nt
Organism: Octopus sinensis (East Asian common octopus)
Lineage: Eukaryota; Metazoa; Mollusca; Cephalopoda; Octopoda; Octopodidae
Gene name: zinc finger protein OZF-like
Exons: 3
Source: RefSeq, a predicted model, not a curated record
AUGAAGGAAAUUGAUUUUCCUGAAAUCUUGUUAAAAACUGUGUUAGGACAUCAAAGACAAGCAAUUGGACCCUAAUACAUUAUAUGUAUGGACAUUUGUGAACGUGUAAGCAUUCGUUAAUUAGUAUGGGAGACGUUGAUCACUUGGACUCUUCUAACGAUGUAGAUUUAAUUACAGAGACAUCCAAGAGGGAAGAACCUGUUUGUGAAGAAAGGGUGACAGAAGGAAGAUCCUCGAACAGGAAUGUCACUGAAUAUAGCUGUGAUCUUUGUAGCAGAACAUUUCUUUCCGAAGAGGAGGCCUUCGCACACAAAGAAAUACACAAGACAGACAAACCUUUUUGUGAAAUCUGUGAGAAGUUUUUCUUAAGAGAUUCUCAUUUUGUUAUCCACAAACGUAUUCACACGGGAGAGAAACCUUUCCAUUGUGAAAUAUGUAAGAAGUCUUUUAUUUCCAACAGCGAUUUAAAGAGACACAGACGAAUACACACGGGGGAGAAACGGUUUCGUUGCGAAAUCUGUGGAGAAGCUUUUAUUGAAAGAUCGAAACUUGUUAUUCAUAUUCGUCGUCACACUGGAGAAAAACCGUUCGAAUGCGAUGUAUGUUCGAAAUCGUUUGUUACGAAUGGUGAAUUAACGAAACACACGACUUCACACACUCGGGAGAAACCAUUCCACUGUAAAAUAUGCGGAGGAACUUUUAUUGAUAGUUCGAAACUUGUUAUCCACAUUCGUCGUCAUACGGGAGAGAAACCGUUCCAUUGUGAAAUAUGUUCGAAAUCUUUUGUCAGUAAUGGUGAGUUAAGAAAGCACGAAGCUGUACAUAUUCCCCCGAAACCAUUUAAUUGUAAAGUGUGUGAGAAAACGUUCGUUUGUGAUGCAGAUCUUGUUAUUCACGCAUGUGAGCACGCUGGGGGGAAACCUUAUGACUGUGAUCUUUGUGGGAAAUCUUUUAAAUCUGACAGUUACUUGACAAAACAUAGACUCAGACACAGUGGGAAAAAACGCUUUCAUUGUGAUAUCUGUGGGAAAUCUUUCGCCUCUAAGAACAAUGUGGUAAAGCACAAACGGAGACAUACUGGGGAAAACCUGGUUUACUGCGAAACGUGCGGAAAAUCGUUCGUCACCAAAGACGACUUAAACAAACACAAACGAAUUCAUACAGGAGAAAACCCUUUUCCCUGUGAAAUCUGUGGGACAUAUUUUCUUGAUUUUAGCCAUUUAACAACUCAUAAACGAAUUCAUACGGGAGAACGACCGUUUCUCUGUGACAUUUGUGGAAAAUCUUUUGCGCAGAAUUCCUAUUUUAUAGUUCACAGAAGAAUUCAUACGGGAGAAAAACCUUACCGUUGCGAAAUCUGUGGAAAGUGUUUUGUGUGUAAAAGUGAUUUAUCAACUCAUGAACGUACGCACACGGGAUUGAAACCGUUUGAUUGUAAAAUCUGUGGGAAAGCUUUUGCGCGGAAUUCGAAUCUUAUCGUUCACAGAAGAAUACACUCUGGGGAUAAACCGUUCCAUUGCGAAGCCUGUGGCAAGCCGUUCACCUCAAACAGCGAUUUGACGAUCCACAGACGAAUACACACAGGGGAAAAACCGUUUCACUGUAAUAUAUGUGGGAAAAAAUUUAUUGCACACAGUCACUUAAAAAGGCAUGUACAAGUACAUACAAGCGAGGGCCCUAUCAUAUAUGAAACGUGAGGAAGCUUUCUCUUUGAAAUCUAAAUUUAUAAUCCACCAAUCCGAAAUUGAUUUCAAAUUACUCUCAUGUAGCAAUUUCUGUGCAGAUUGCUUCCGUUCACCUGACCUCCUGGUAACUUACAAUUGCAUUCAGAUUUCCAGGUGGUGAGAUGAAAGUGAUUUUAUGCGCAGGGCAUGGUUUGAAAUAGGUUUCAGAUUGCUCCUUCCUCCCCACCCGAAUCCUUUCCCAAAUGCUCAUUAACCUGGUGGUAAAUGAAAGAAUUAUUGGCGAGCUGGCAGAAUCUUUCAAGCAUCAAACCGAAAUGCUUAGUGGCAUUUCUUUCGGGUCUUUACGUUCUGAGUUCAAGUUCUGCCG